UACAGAGGGGGCAAGCGUUGUUCGGAAUUACUGGGCGUAAAGGGCGCGUAGGCGGCCUGCUAAGUCGAACGUGAAAUCCCCGAGCUCAACUCGGGAACUGCGUCCGAUACUGGCAGGCUUGAAUCCGGGAGAGGGAUGCGGAAUUCCAGGUGUAGCGGUGAAAUGCGUAGAUAUCUGGAGGAACACCAAUUGCGAAGGCAGCUCGCUGGGACGUUACUGACGCUGAGACGCGAAAGCGUGGGGAGCAAACAGG
RNAcentral lists this ribosomal RNA (253 nucleotides) under uncultured bacterium. RNAcentral describes it as "partial 16S ribosomal RNA". It matches the Rfam family "Bacterial small subunit ribosomal RNA", at positions 524 to 776 of the family's 1533-position model. The record is from RNAcentral.